UGGGGAAUUUUGCGCAAUGGGCGAAAGCCUGACGCAGCAACGCCGCGUGGAGGAUGAAGGUUUUCGGAUUGUAAACUCCUGUCAGUGGGGAAAAAGCGAGUCGACCUAAUACGUCGAUGAGUUGAUUGUACCCGCAGAGGAAGCCCCGGCUAACUCUGUGCCAGCAGCCGCGGUAAUACAGAGGGGGCAAGCGUUAUUCGGAAUUAUUGGGCGUAAAGGGCGCGUAGGCGGCCGUUCAAGUGGAAGGUGAAAUCCCCCGGCUCAACCGGGGAACUGCCUUCCAAACUGAAUGGCUUGAGUCCGGGAGAGGUGAGUGGAAUUCCCAGUGUAGCGGUGAAAUGCGUAGAUAUUGGGAGGAACACCGGUGGCGAAGGCGGCUCACUGGACCGGAACUGACGCUGAGGCGCGAAAGCGUGGGGAGCAA
RNAcentral lists this ribosomal RNA (424 nucleotides) under uncultured bacterium. RNAcentral describes it as "bacterial SSU rRNA". It matches the Rfam family "Bacterial small subunit ribosomal RNA", at positions 355 to 771 of the family's 1533-position model. The record is from RNAcentral.